CAUUGCAUAAAGCUUUCGCUUACAUCUUCACGAUUUUCAACUCUACACAGGGUUUCUUCAUCUUUCUUCUUCACUGCGUAAGGAACAGCGAGAUAAGAGCUCGUUUGACAAGAAGGAUUCAGGCGAUAUUCCCAGCAAUGGACGAUGGGACAAGCACGAGACAAACUUCC
Molecule: long non-coding RNA, 170 nt
Organism: Stylophora pistillata
Lineage: Eukaryota; Metazoa; Cnidaria; Anthozoa; Scleractinia; Pocilloporidae
Source: RefSeq, a predicted model, not a curated record